This 207-nucleotide unclassified non-coding RNA is filed under the name soil metagenome. RNAcentral's name for it is "partial contains 5.8S ribosomal RNA, internal transcribed spacer 2, and large subunit ribosomal RNA". The record is from RNAcentral.
AACCAUAGAAACCUGCGGAGUACCUGCGGAAGGAUCAUUACCGAGUUUACAACUCCCAAACCCCUGUGAACACACCAAUUGUUGCCUCGGCGGAUCAGCCCGCUCCCGGUAAAACGGGACGGCCCGCCAGAGGACCCCUAAACUCUGUUUCUAUAUGUAACUUCUGAGUAAAACCAUAAAUAAAUCAAAACUUUCAGCAAUGGAUCU